GGCCGCUUGGCCCAAUGGUUAAGGCGUCUGACUACGAUUGAGCGUGUGCAUAUCACGCGCUUGCUUAAUAUCUAGGUAAUCAGGAGAUUCUGGGUUCGACUCCCAGGGUGGCCU
Non-coding RNA from Annulohypoxylon truncatum, 114 nucleotides. The record is from the annotation of a RefSeq genome assembly. NCBI's taxonomy places the organism in Eukaryota, Fungi, Ascomycota, Sordariomycetes, Xylariales, Hypoxylaceae.